UACAGAGGGUGCAAGCGUUAUUCGGAAUUACUGGGCGUAAAGCGCAUGUAGGUGGGAUACAGGGUCAGGUGUGAAAUCCCGGGGCUUAACCUCGGAAUGGCAUUUGAAACCGGUAUUCUUGAGUCUGGGAGAGGGAAGUGGAAUUCCAGGUGUAGAGGUGAAAUUCGUAGAUAUCUGGAGGAACACCGGCGGCGAAGGCGGCUUCCUGGUCCAGUACUGACACUGAGAUGCGAAAGCGUGGGUAGCAAACAGG
RNAcentral lists this ribosomal RNA (253 nucleotides) under uncultured bacterium. Its description in RNAcentral is "partial 16S ribosomal RNA". It matches the Rfam family "Bacterial small subunit ribosomal RNA", at positions 524 to 776 of the family's 1533-position model. The record is from RNAcentral.